UGUAACAAGGUCUCCGUUGGUGAACCAGCGGAGGGAUCAUUACCGAGUUUACAACUCCCAAACCCCUGUGAACAUACCACUUGUUGCCUCGGCGGAUCAGCCCGCUCCCGGUAAAACGGGACGGCCCGCCAGAGGACCCCUAAACUCUGUUUCUAUAUGUAACUUCUGAGUAAAACCAUAAAUAAAUCAAAACUUUCAACAACGGAUCUCUUGGUUCUGGCAUCGAUGAAGAACGCAGCAAAAUGCGAUAAGUAAUGUGAAUUGCAGAAUUCAGUGAAUCAUCGAAUCUUUGAACGCACAUUGCGCCCGCCAGUAUUCUGGCGGGCAUGCCUGUUCGAGCGUCAUUUCAACCCUCAAGCACAGCUUGGUGUUGGGACUCGCGUUAAUUCGCGUUCCCCAAAUUGAUUGGCGGUCACGUCGAGCUUCCAUAGCGUAGUAGUAAAACCCUCGUUACUGGUAAUCGUCGCGGCCACGCCGUUAAACCCCAACUUCUGAAUGUUGACCUCGGAUCAGGUAGGAAUACCCGCUGAACUUAAGCAUAUCAAU
This 546-nucleotide ribosomal RNA is filed under the name Fusarium oxysporum. Its description in RNAcentral is "eukaryotic LSU rRNA". The stretch from base 191 to 344 matches the Rfam family "5.8S ribosomal RNA". Lineage: Eukaryota; Fungi; Ascomycota; Sordariomycetes; Hypocreales; Nectriaceae. The record is from RNAcentral.